This 506-nucleotide ribosomal RNA is filed under the name uncultured bacterium. Its description in RNAcentral is "partial 16S ribosomal RNA". It matches the Rfam family "Bacterial small subunit ribosomal RNA", at positions 29 to 523 of the family's 1533-position model. The record is from RNAcentral.
AGUGAACGCUGGCGGUAGGCCUAACACAUGCAAGUCGAACGGCAGCACAGGAGAGCUUGCUCUCUGGGUGGCGAGUGGCGGACGGGUGAGGAAUACAUCGGAAUCUACUCUGUCGUGGGGGAUAACGUAGGGAAACUUACGCUAAUACCGCAUACGACCUACGGGUGAAAGCAGGGGAUCUUCGGACCUUGCGCGAUUGAAUGAGCCGAUGUCGGAUUAGCUAGUUGGCGGGGUAAAGGCCCACCAAGGCGACGAAGCGUAGCUGGUCUGAUAGGAUGAUCCGCCACACUGGAACUGAGACACGGUCCAGACUCCUACGGGAGGCAGCAGUUGGGAAUAUUGGACAAUGGGCGCAAGCCUGAUCCAGCCAUACCGCGUGGGUGAAGAAGGCCUUCGGGUUGUAAAGCCCUUUUGUUGGGAAAGAAAUCCAGCUGGCUAAUACCCGGUUGGGAUGACGGUACCCAAAGAAUAAGCACCGGCUAACUUCGUGCCAGCCGCCGCGGUAA